RNAcentral lists this signal recognition particle RNA (267 nucleotides) under Dasypus novemcinctus (nine-banded armadillo). Its description in RNAcentral is "Metazoan signal recognition particle RNA (ENSDNOG00000038090.1)". It matches the Rfam family "Metazoan signal recognition particle RNA". From Rfam's summary of the family: The signal recognition particle (SRP) is a universally conserved ribonucleoprotein. Lineage: Eukaryota; Metazoa; Chordata; Mammalia; Cingulata; Dasypodidae. The record is from RNAcentral.
GUUGGGAGUGGUAGCGUGCACCUGUAGUCCCAGCUACAAAGGAGGAUGAGACAGGAGGAUCACUUGAGCCCAGGAGUUCUGCUGACUGGGUAUCCGCACUAAAUGUGACAUCAAUAUGAUGACCUCCCAGGAGUCGGGGACCACUAGGUUGCCUAAGGAGCGAUGAACCAGCCUACGUGGUAAACUCCCAAACUGAUCAGUAGUGGGAUUGUGCCUGUGAACAGCCACUGUAAUCCAGCCUGGGCAACAUAGCGAGACCUCAUCUCU